This 253-nucleotide ribosomal RNA is filed under the name uncultured bacterium. Its description in RNAcentral is "partial 16S ribosomal RNA". It matches the Rfam family "Bacterial small subunit ribosomal RNA", at positions 524 to 776 of the family's 1533-position model. The record is from RNAcentral.
UACGAGUGCCUCAAGCGUUAUCCGGAAUUAUUGGGCGUAAAGGAUGUGUAGGUGGUCGUGUUAGUCUCUUGUUAAAUUCUUCGGCUUAACCGGGGACCUGCAAGGGAAACGGCACGACUAGAGGAUGCGAGGGGUCUGCGGAACUCAUAGUGUAGCGGUGAAAUGCGUUGAUAUUAUGGGGAACACCAAAAGCGAAGGCAGCAGACUGGAGCACUCCUGACACUGAAACAUGAAAGCGUGGGUAGCGAAUGGG